GUGAAUCAUCGAAUUUUUGAACGCAAAUUGCACUCUUCUCGGAUAGUAUGAGUGUUUGUGGGUCAGCAUAUAAAAAAUCGCCAUAGUUGCUGUUUCGUGAUGGCGUUCGGUGGAAAUUGGGUAAUCUUAAAUUCUUUUGAUUUAAGCGACUUAAAAUUUUCUUUUGGUUCCAUUAACGUUUUUAUGAUUUAUUUCUUUACACGUUUAAGGUAUUGAUUUUUUCUAGACGUGACAAUAAUAUCGGAUAGCGA
This 251-nucleotide unclassified non-coding RNA is filed under the name Glomeromycota sp. Its description in RNAcentral is "partial internal transcribed spacer 2". Lineage: Eukaryota; Fungi; Glomeromycota. The record is from RNAcentral.